UGCACUCACUACUGUAAGUCGCUCUGGAUAAGAGCGUCUGCUAAAAGGCUAAAA
Non-coding RNA from Salmo salar (Atlantic salmon), 54 nucleotides. Lineage: Eukaryota; Metazoa; Chordata; Actinopteri; Salmoniformes; Salmonidae. The record is from Rfam.